Long non-coding RNA from Antechinus flavipes (yellow-footed antechinus), 893 nucleotides. RefSeq lists it as uncharacterized. The record is from RefSeq and is a predicted model, not a curated record. Lineage: Eukaryota; Metazoa; Chordata; Mammalia; Dasyuromorphia; Dasyuridae. The transcript has 4 exons.
CGGAGGGAAUAACUGGUCUUCUUGCCAAAGUAGCUGAGACAGUAGAUAGCAUUCUGUCAAUAAAGUUAAAAUAUGAUAGAAAAGCUGGGAAUAGCAAAAGAUACAGAUCAGUAAUCAAGUUGGGAAAAGAACAAUGGAUAAUAUAGGGAACUACCAUUAGCCCAGUCUAGGAGAAGAGAUGUGAUAGCUCCAAGUUUUGAUAAACAUCUGUGUGCAUUCAGGAAGAGUUUUGAGAAGCAGACAACUGCACCUGAGAAAUAAGAUACCUGCCCUAUUAUAGGUUACCAACUCCGCGUGUGAACUAGUGUGAUGUAAUAGAGUAUAGAAUUUGGAGUCAGAAGUCCAGAGUCAAAGCUAAUCUUCAGUGCUUCCUACCUGUGACUUUAGAUGAAGAAACUGAGGUGAAAAAAGUCAUAUGAUCAUAGACCUGAAACUUGAAGCACUCUGAGAGGUCAUCUAAGAUCAACCCUUCAUUUUACAGACGAGGAAACUGAGGCCCAGGAAAUUUCAGUGACUAGGUUCACAGAGUUGGAAGGGACAUUAGAAGAUAAAGGUCAUCCAGUGAAGGCCUCAAGUGAGAAUGCACUACUGCUCAAGACAGUACACUUUGGAAAGUAUCAGUCCUCUUUACAGUUGCCUGAAUAAUCUUGCUCAAAUGCAUCUAAGUCCAUAUGCAAGACAAAAAUCAAGACAAUUGGCAAUGGCCUGGGAGGCAAGUAUUUGAUUUUUAAAGCACCUCUGUGUGUUAUCUUGGCAAAACAAUCUCAACACACCAUUCUGUCAUCUUUUCUGCUCAUUUCUGAAGGCUUUCUAGAUUUAUGAAAAGUUCUGGCUUUGGAAUUAAAAGAUCUGGGCUCUUAAUGCCAACUCUAAAAUUUAUCAUGGUCUUGGGA